AAACCUCACCCCUGGACACAGACAGGAUUGACAGAUCAAGAGCUCUUUCUCAGUUCCAUGGGUGGUAGUGCCUGGCCACUCGUGGUGGAGUGAUUUGUCUGGUUAAUUCCAAUAAGAAAAAAGGCUCUGGCAUGUUAACUAGUUAUGUGCCCCUCCCAGUGGUCAACGUCCAACUUCUUCAAGGGACACGUAGCAUUCACCAACAUGAGAUAGAGCAACAAGUCAUCUGUGAUGCCCUUUAGUGUAAGAG
Molecule: non-coding RNA, 250 nt
Filed under: Pelecanus crispus (Dalmatian pelican)
Lineage: Eukaryota; Metazoa; Chordata; Aves; Pelecaniformes; Pelecanidae
Description: Eukaryotic small subunit ribosomal RNA
Rfam family: Eukaryotic small subunit ribosomal RNA
Source: Rfam by way of RNAcentral